GGACUCCUCCACACACCUGCAUGAAGCCACCGUCACCAGCUUUGAUCCAGGGCCAGAACUCUGCUCAGCUAUGAGGAGAGGAGGAGCUUCCUGAUGCAACAACACCUCAGAUGAUGCAAGUGGGGCCUCUGUAGUGCCGCCCACCUCUUUCACACACACAAACACACACAAACCCUCCUGCCCUCCCAGUCCUACAGAAGCUCAGUUUGGAGAAGGUGCACCAGUGGUUGUGUUCAGAGCAGCUCUCUCCAGAUCUCGAGGGCCAGCAUGACUCUCCAAGCUCUCCUCCCAGUGUCUCUCUCUCUACUCUGGCUCACAGGUACUGUAGGGUCAGUGGCUACACAGGAAACAUCUCCAUGAUAGACUAGAUAACGCUCACACGCUGUAGAUGGUUACAGGAGCAUCAUUUCCACUCUGCUUGAGUCUUGCCCGGAAAACUGCAGAGAUGAACUGCAGCCAUGAGAAAGAUGUGGAGCUACAGCUCAACAAGUCCUCCAGCACCAGGCUGGGGGUGAAGUCUUGUUCUGGAUCACACCAGAGCUCAGAGCUCCUCAGAGUCCCUGAACAUUUCUGGACUGGGAGUCAACAUGAUCACAUGUCUCAUAGGCACAGGGAUUUUCUUCAUCCUGACCGGUGUGUGUCAGACUGUGGAGGUCCACCAGACUCCCUCUCAUCUCCUCAGCAGAGAUGGAGAUACUGUGCAGCUCGUCUGCACCCACAGUAAAUCAGAAAAUACAAAGAUGCUCUGAUACUUCCAGAAACCAGUGGACACAGCUCUCAUACUCAUCGGGUAUUUG
Molecule: long non-coding RNA, 797 nt
Organism: Osmerus eperlanus (European smelt)
Lineage: Eukaryota; Metazoa; Chordata; Actinopteri; Osmeriformes; Osmeridae
Exons: 3
Source: RefSeq, a predicted model, not a curated record